CCCGGUGACCCUGGGUUAAACGGCCGCGGUAUUUUAACCGUGCGAAGGUAGCGCAAUCACUUGUCCUUUAAAUGAAGACCUGUAUGAAUGGCUAGACGAGGGCUUAGCUGUCUCCUCCCCCCGGUCAAUGAAAUUGAUCUCCCCGUGCAGAAGCGGGGAUACUAACAUAAGACGAGAAGACCCUAUGGAGCUUUAGACACUAGACAGCCCACGUUAAACUUCCCCUAUAAAGAGGAAAAAACAUUGUGAUUCCUGUCUCUCCUGUCUUCGGUUGGGGCGACCGCGGAGGAUAAAAAAGCCUCCAUGUGGACCGAGGUUACUAACCUCACAACUUAGAGCUGCAGCUCCAAGCAACAGAAAUUCUGACCAAAAUGAUCCGGCAUAGCGCCGAUUAACGGAACAAGUUACCCUAGGGAUAACAGCGCAAUCCUCUCCCAGAGUCCCUAUCGACGAGGGGGUUUACGACCUCGAUGUUGGAUCAGGACAUCCUAUUGGUGCAGCCGCUAAUAAGGGUUCGUUUGUUCAACGAUUAAAGUCCU
RNAcentral lists this ribosomal RNA (539 nucleotides) under Osmerus mordax dentex (Arctic rainbow smelt). Its description in RNAcentral is "partial 16S ribosomal RNA". It matches the Rfam family "Bacterial large subunit ribosomal RNA", at positions 1862 to 2597 of the family's 2925-position model. The record is from RNAcentral. Lineage: Eukaryota; Metazoa; Chordata; Actinopteri; Osmeriformes; Osmeridae.